This 749-nucleotide ribosomal RNA is filed under the name uncultured bacterium. Its description in RNAcentral is "bacterial SSU rRNA". It matches the Rfam family "Bacterial small subunit ribosomal RNA", at positions 73 to 808 of the family's 1533-position model. The record is from RNAcentral.
GAGGAGCUUGCUCUUCUUGGAUGAGUUGCGAACGGGUGAGUAACGCGUAGGUAACCUGCCUUGUAGCGGGGGAUAACUAUUGGAAACGAUAGCUAAUACCGCAUAACAAUGGGUGACGCAUGUCAUUUAUUUGAAAGGGGCAAUUGCUCCACUACAAGAUGGACCUGCGUUGUAUUAGCUAGUAGGUGAGGUAACGGCUCACCUAGGCGACGAUACAUAGCCGACCUGAGAGGGUGAUCGGCCACACUGGGACUGAGACACGGCCCAGACUCCUACGGGAGGCAGCAGUAGGGAAUCUUCGGCAAUGGGGGCAACCCUGACCGAGCAACGCCGCGUGAGUGAAGAAGGUUUUCGGAUCGUAAAGCUCUGUUGUAAGUCAAGAACGAGUGUGAGAGUGGAAAGUUCACACUGUGACGGUAGCUUACCAGAAAGGGACGGCUAACUACGUGCCAGCAGCCGCGGUAAUACGUAGGUCCCGAGCGUUGUCCGGAUUUAUUGGGCGUAAAGCGAGCGCAGGCGGUUUGAUAAGUCUGAAGUUAAAGGCUGUGGCUCAACCAUAGUUCGCUUUGGAAACUGUCAAACUUGAGUGCAGAAGGGGAGAGUGGAAUUCCAUGUGUAGCGGUGAAAUGCGUAGAUAUAUGGAGGAACACCGGUGGCGAAAGCGGCUCUCUGGUCUGUAACUGACGCUGAGGCUCGAAAGCGUGGGGAGCGAACAGGAUUAGAUACCCUGGUAGUCCACGCCGUAAACG